RNAcentral lists this ribosomal RNA (537 nucleotides) under uncultured bacterium. RNAcentral's name for it is "bacterial SSU rRNA". It matches the Rfam family "Bacterial small subunit ribosomal RNA", at positions 8 to 524 of the family's 1533-position model. The record is from RNAcentral.
AGAGUUUGAUCAUGGCUCAGAUUGAACGCUGGCGGCAGGCCUAACACAUGCAAGUCGAGCGGAAACGAGUUAUCUAAACCUUCGGGGAACGAUAACGGCGUCGAGCGGCGAACGGGUGAGUAAUGCCUAGGAAAUUGCCCUGAUGUGGGGGAUAACCAUUGGAAACGAUGGCUAAUACCGCAUAAUACCUUCGGGUCAAAGAGGGGGACCUUCGGGCCUCUCGCGUCAGGAUUUGCCUAGGUGGGAUUAGCUAGUUGGUGAGGUAAUGGCUCACCAAGGCGACAAUCCCUAGCUGGUCUGAGAGGAUGAUCAGCCACACUGGAACUGAGACACGGUCCAGACUCCUACGGGAGGCAGCAGUGGGGAAUAUUGCACAAUGGGCGCAAGCCUGAUGCAGCCAUGCCGCGUGUGUGAAGAAGGCCUUCGGGUUGUAAAGCACUUUCAGUCGUGAGGAAGGUAGUGUAGCUAAUAGCUGCAUUAUUUGACGUUAGCGACAGAAGAAGCACCGGCUAACUCCGUGCCAGCAGCCGCGGUAAU